UACCUAUGAUGAAAAUUACAGGCCUCUCUCAUCUUUUUAAGUGGGAGAACUUGCACAAUUGGUGGCUGACUAAAUACUUUUUUGCCCCACUGUACAUGCUUAGUAAAUGAAUGUUUGCAUACAUAAGCAUACAGUGAGGGCACUCAUCCCAGUCCAUAUUAGCUCUAACUAUCUGCAGUAAUCUAGAUAUGCUUGCACUAGCAUCCUCUAAUCAUUUUUCUAGACUGCUUGCUUUUCCAACCACGCAUGCAAAUAUGAAGAACGGUGAAGCACUUUAUUUAUGUAUAGCGUUUUGGAAACCUUAUUUUGUACUGGUCCAGCUUUAUCCCCAAUUUAUCUGAUGGGUUUUGCUUUUGUAUUUGCUAUUAUUACUUUUUGUAUCAUAUAUUUAAACAUAAAUAUGUUAUAUAAUAUACAUGAUAUGCUGUGAUACAUACAUCUAUAGAUUAUGGAUAUAUAAUGUUGUCUGAUGUGCGUAAUGUGGUGAAGAUCUUAUAAGAAAAUUACUGUAGGCAAUAAUGUAUUGGAUGAAAUCCUAGAUAUGUACAGUAUAUGUUAUCCAGUAUGAAGCUACUGUUGGAGGGACAUGGCCAGCACUGAGAGUACUGUCAAUCCCAGGGCUAAAAGGAUGCUAUUUAAAGUUUAUACAAGGCUAAAUGCUAUUGUCCACAUCAUAACUCUAUCUAGUUUGUGAUCCUAACAUGAGAGAAACUCUAAUCUGUCCAUUCAAAUAAGAAAAUAAUAGACAAUAUAACACAGUUUAAAUCGUUAAAAAAACAAGUAUUAGAUAAUAUAUCACAAGGCUAAAUGUAUGAUAUUAGAGUGCCUUUGUGAAGAGAUAUCAAUCUUUCCAUCGAUGCCAUUAUUCCAACCAAGGUGGACUAGAGCUUUAUGUCAAUAGAGACAUAACAACCUAACUCUACUGACCUGUUCUGGUGUGACUGCAGUAAGUCCUGUACUAUAACAACCUAACUCUACUGACCUGUUCUGGUGUGACUGCAGUAAGUCCUGUACUAUAACAACCUAACUCUACUGACCUGUUCUGGUGUGACUGCAGUAAGUCCUGUACUAUAACAACCUAACUCUACUGACCUGUUCUGGUGUGACUGCAGUAAGUCCUGUACUAUAACAACCUAACUCUACUGACCUGUUCUGGUGUGACUGCAGUAAGUCCUGUACUAUAACAACCUAACUCUACUGACCUGUUCUGGUGUGACUGCAGUAAGUCCUGUACUAUAACAACCUAACUCUACUGACCUGUUCUGGUGUGACUGCAGUAAGUCCUGUACUAUAACCACCUAACUCUACUGACCUGUUCUGGUGUGACUGCAGUAAGUCCUGUACUAUAACCACCUAACUCUACUGACCUGUUCUGGUGUGACUGCAGUAAGUCCUGUACUAUAACAACCUAACUCUACUGACCUGUUCUGGUGUGACUGAAGUAAGUCCUGUACUAUAACAACCUAACUCUACUGACCUGUUCUGGUGUGACUGCAGUAAGUCCUGUACUAUAACAACCUAACUCUACUGACCUGUUCUGGUGUGACUGCAGUAAGUCCUGUACUAUAACCACCUAACUCUACUGACCUGUUCUGGUGUGACUGCAGUAAGUCCUGUACUAUAACAACCUAACUCUACUGACCUGUUCUGGUGUGACUGAAGUAAGUCCUGUACUAUAACAACCUAACUCUACUGACCUGUUCUGGUGUGACUGCAGUAAGUCCUGUACUAUAACAACCUAACUCUACUGACCUGUUCUGGUGUGACUGCAGUAAGUCCUGUACUAUAACAACCUAACUCUACUGACCUGUUCUGGUGUGACUGCAGUAAGUCCUGUACUAUAACCACCUAACUCUACUGACCUGUUCUGGUGUGACUGCAGUAAGUCCUGUACUAUAACCACCUAACUCUACUGACCUGUUCUGGUGUGACUGCAGUAAGUCCUGUACUAUAACCACCUAACUCUACUGACCUGUUCUGGUGUGACUGCAGUAAGUCCUGUACUAUAACAACCUAACUCUACUGACCUGUUCUGGUGUGACUGAAGUAAGUCCUGUACUAUAACAACCUAACUCUACUGACCUGUUCUGGUGUGACUGCAGUAAGUCCUGUACUAUAACAACCUAACUCUACCGACCUGUUCUGGUGUGACUGCAGAGUACUGCUAGGUGUCAGGCAAGGUAAGGAAGGGUACUGCUAGGUGUUAACCAAGGUAAGGAAGGGUACUGCUAGGUGUCAGCCAAGGUAAGGAAGGGUACUGCUAGGUGUCAGGCAAGGUAAGGAAGGGUACUGCUAGGUGUCAGGCAAGGUAAGGAAGGGUACUGCUAGACUGGUGUGAGAGGAGGAACCAAAGAGCUGCUAUACUGUGAUGUCUGUUAGAUAAACAGUAACUAAAGGCUUGUUGUAAAAUCCAUCCCAGGAUUACACCACUGUCCUUAUGUGUCUUCUAAACGGUUAUGAGAUGUCAUAAAGCCUACAUAGUGAUGUCAUAACAUAUCAUAGGAUAAUGUUUUUGUGCCAUAUGCAGUGAUUUUGAUCAGUUAACUGUAGAUUGUAGCCUGAUCCCGGUAGUCAUUUUUAUGCAUUGUGAUAUAAGCUGACAUAACCUGUUAUGAAUGGUAAUAACACGUAGUAAAUUAUGAAUAAUCAUUAUUGAAGCUUUAUGAAGGAGUGUUCACCUGCUAUUCACUGUCAGGAAUCAUAACCUCACAUCGAUUUCAAUGUUGUCUAACUAAUGUUUUAAAAAAAAAAAAAAAAA
Non-coding RNA from Oncorhynchus mykiss (rainbow trout), 2758 nucleotides. The record is from RefSeq and is a predicted model, not a curated record. NCBI's taxonomy places the organism in Eukaryota, Metazoa, Chordata, Actinopteri, Salmoniformes, Salmonidae.